AUGAAACAGUCUUCAGGGAAUAAGCUAGCUGACUUGUUUACAAACACUAGCACUGCAUUAUUGGUUAUUGCUGUCCCAAAACGCAACAAGCACGCAGAAAUGCUAAACAAUUUCAGCUCAGACAGAUAUGGCGCUCAACAGCAUAUCACACACACGAGCAUCAUCACUACUGAAACUCCACCUGUAAAAUGGUACCCUGCGCUAAUUAUUGCAGCUGCAUUAUUGCUGCUGUGCCUGGGGUCAGAGGGCAACGCAGACGGAUGGCUCCCAGGCAGCGCAGGUGGCGUCCGUCGCCCACCGAUGAAGGUGACCGAUAGGCUCGCCGGCUCACUGAGAGGUCAGCUCUAG
This 348-nucleotide ribosomal RNA is filed under the name Triticum aestivum (bread wheat). RNAcentral describes it as "partial small subunit ribosomal RNA". Lineage: Eukaryota; Viridiplantae; Streptophyta; Magnoliopsida; Poales; Poaceae. The record is from RNAcentral.